Molecule: transfer RNA, 73 nt
Filed under: Bos taurus (domestic cattle)
Lineage: Eukaryota; Metazoa; Chordata; Mammalia; Artiodactyla; Bovidae
Also listed under: 4 other names
Rfam family: tRNA
About the family: Transfer RNA (tRNA) molecules are approximately 80 nucleotides in length.
Source: Rfam by way of RNAcentral
UCCCUGGCAGUUUAGUGGUUAAGACUCAGUGCUUUCACUGCUGUGGGCCUGGGUUCAGUUCCUGGUCAGGGAA